RNAcentral lists this ribosomal RNA (123 nucleotides) under Veillonella seminalis. RNAcentral's name for it is "partial 16S ribosomal RNA". It matches the Rfam family "Bacterial small subunit ribosomal RNA", at positions 1420 to 1533 of the family's 1533-position model. Lineage: Bacteria; Bacillati; Bacillota; Negativicutes; Veillonellales; Veillonellaceae. The record is from RNAcentral.
CCCAAAGCCGGUGGGGUAACCUUCGGGAGCCAGCCGUCUAAGGUAAAGUCGAUGAUUGGGGUGAAGUCGUAACAAGGUAGCCGUAUCGGAAGGUGCGGCUGGAUCACCUCCUUUCUAGGGAGA